This is a non-coding RNA of Podarcis lilfordi (Lilford's wall lizard), 66 nucleotides long. Lineage: Eukaryota; Metazoa; Chordata; Lepidosauria; Squamata; Lacertidae. The record is from the annotation of a GenBank genome assembly.
GUUCGUAGCUCAGUUGGUCAGAGUGCGGUGCUGAUAAGGUUGCAGGUUUGAUUCCCGCAUGGGACA